CACACACACUGCACCCCUGACACUCAGAGCACCCUUACACACACUACACCUUUGACACUCACAGCACCAUCACUUACACUCACACACACUACACUCCUGACACUCACAGCACCCUCUCACACACACAAACACACACUGCAGACCUGACACUCACAGCACCCACACUUACACACACACACAAACUGCACCCCUGGCACAGCACUCUCACACACACACACACACACACACUGCACCCCUGACACUCACAGCACCCUCACACACUACACUUCUGACAAUUGCAGCACCCUCUCUCACACACACACCAUGCACUCCUGACACGCACAGAACCCUCACACCGCACCCCUGUCACCUCACCCUCACUCACACACUCCACCCCUAAUACUCACAGCACCCUCACUCUCACACACUCCACCCCUGAUACUCACAGCACCCUCACUCAAACACAGCACACACACGCUGCAACCCUCACACACAGCACCCUCACAC
Molecule: non-coding RNA, 486 nt
Organism: Pelobates cultripes (western spadefoot toad)
Lineage: Eukaryota; Metazoa; Chordata; Amphibia; Anura; Pelobatidae
Source: the annotation of a GenBank genome assembly